GACGAACGCUGGCGGCGUGCUUAACACAUGCAAGUCGAACGGAAAGGCCCUGCUUUUGUGGGGUGCUCGAGUGGCGAGCGGGUGAGUAACACGUGAGUAACCUGCCCUUGACUUUGGGAUAACUUCAGGAAACUGGGGCUAAUACCGGAUAGGAGCUCCUGCUGCAUGGUGGGGGUUGGAAAGUUUCGGCGGUUGGGGAUGGACUCGCGGCUUAUCAGCUUGUUGGUGGGGUAGUGGCUUACCAAGGCUUUGACGGGUAGCCGGCCUGAGAGGGUGACCGGCGACAUUGGGACUGAGAUACGGCCCAGACUCCUACGGGAGGCAGCAGUGGGGAAUAUUGCACAAUGGGCGGAAGCCUGAUGCAGCAACGCCGCGUGCGGGAUGACGGCCUUCGGGUUGUAAACCGCUUUCGCCUGUGACGAAGCGUGAGUGACGGUAAUGGGUAAAGAAGCACCGGCUAACUACGUG
This 468-nucleotide ribosomal RNA is filed under the name uncultured bacterium. RNAcentral describes it as "partial 16S ribosomal RNA". It matches the Rfam family "Bacterial small subunit ribosomal RNA", at positions 28 to 507 of the family's 1533-position model. The record is from RNAcentral.